Molecule: transfer RNA, 73 nt
Filed under: Candidatus Nanoarchaeia archaeon
Lineage: Archaea; Nanobdellati; Nanobdellota; Candidatus Nanoarchaeia
Also listed under: 1 other name
Description: tRNA-Thr
Rfam family: tRNA
About the family: Transfer RNA (tRNA) molecules are approximately 80 nucleotides in length. Their secondary structure includes four short double-helical elements and three loops (D, anti-codon, and T loops). Further hydrogen bonds mediate the characteristic L-shaped molecular structure. tRNAs have two regions of fundamental functional importance: the anti-codon, which is responsible for specific mRNA codon recognition, and the 3' end, to which the tRNAs corresponding amino acid is attached (by aminoacyl-tRNA synthetases). tRNAs cope with the degeneracy of the genetic code in two manners: having more than one tRNA (with a specific anti-codon) for a particular amino acid; and 'wobble' base-pairing, i.e. permitting non-standard base-pairing at the 3rd anti-codon position.
Source: RNAcentral
GCCCCGGUAGCUCAGCUGGUAGAGCGCCACACUGGUAAUGUGGAGGUCACGGGUUCGAAACCCGUCCGGGGCU